RNAcentral lists this ribosomal RNA (118 nucleotides) under Triticum aestivum (bread wheat). The record is from RNAcentral. Lineage: Eukaryota; Viridiplantae; Streptophyta; Magnoliopsida; Poales; Poaceae.
GGAUGCGAUGAUACCAGCACUAAAGCACCGGAUCCCAUCAAAACUCCGAAGUUAAGCGUGCUUGGGCGAGAGUAUUCUAGGAUGGGUGACCUCCUGGGAAGUCCUCGUGUUGCAUUCC